RNAcentral lists this non-coding RNA (125 nucleotides) under Nitrospira moscoviensis. Lineage: Bacteria; Pseudomonadati; Nitrospirota; Nitrospiria; Nitrospirales; Nitrospiraceae. The record is from RNAcentral.
AAGGGAAGCGCGGUGAAAGACCGCCACUGGUCCGCAACUGUGAUCGGGGACGAAAUCUGCAAUUAGCCACUGUCCGCUGGAUGGGAAGGCGCAGAGAGUAGGACGAACCGAGAGUCAGGAGACCU